AAGGUAACGCCUGCCCAGUGAGAAACUUUUCUUAAACGGCCGCGUCAUAAUCGUGCAAAGGUAGCGUAAUCAUUUGUCUCCUAAAUAGAGACCCGUAUGAAAGGCCUCAUGAGAAAGAAACUGUCUCUUGAAGAUAUCCAAUGAAACUGAUCUGCCUGUGCAAAAGCAGGUAUAAUGUAACAAGACAAAAAGACCCUGUGAAACUUAAAAAUAGCUAUCAACGACAUGGUAGUAUUUUUUGGUUGGGGCAACCAAAGAGAAACAAAACCUCUUAAACAUGCAAGACCAACAAGUCCAAUUUAAUAAUUGACCCAGUAAUACUGACCAACGGACCAAGCUACUCCAGGGAUAACAGCGCCAAAUUCUUGAAGAGUUCACAUCAACAAGAAUUCUUACGACCUCGAUGUUGGAUCAGGAUACCCAAGCAGUGCAAAAACCGCUAACGGUUCGUUUGUUCAACGAUUAAAAUCCU
This 472-nucleotide ribosomal RNA is filed under the name Agama montana. RNAcentral describes it as "partial 16S ribosomal RNA". It matches the Rfam family "Bacterial large subunit ribosomal RNA", at positions 1849 to 2597 of the family's 2925-position model. The record is from RNAcentral. Lineage: Eukaryota; Metazoa; Chordata; Lepidosauria; Squamata; Agamidae.